GUUGCCGGAAAUGUAGUAGGCAAAAAGUUUUCAAAUAUGACUCCAUAACAGGACGAAGGAUAAAUGAGGGGCAAGAGGAAGUAAGGGUGAAAUGGUUACCUUGCUCUGCAUGUGGAAAAAUCUGGGAGGAGACAUGGGAGCCGGCCUGCCAGUUCUCACCAGGUGCCAACCAUGUGUAAUGUCACACAUUGGUCUGUAAUUCAAUGAGUUGAACCUGCUAUGAGAUGUAAAGUUUGCCGUUUUGGGCCCAGCCAUCCUGCUUGCGGAUGUGACUUACACACGUUCAAUGGUUUCCACCCUAACA
Pimephales promelas (fathead minnow) is the source of this 304-nucleotide non-coding RNA. The record is from RefSeq and is a predicted model, not a curated record. NCBI's taxonomy places the organism in Eukaryota, Metazoa, Chordata, Actinopteri, Cypriniformes, Leuciscidae.